UUUUUUGAGAGAAGUUUGCAGUUUGACUGUAGUUGGCAAGUAAUAUUGAGUUGUCUCUUGCAUGGGUUACCAAUGUUCAGCUCAGUAACUGCAAUUGUAGAUGCGGCUUUGGUGCUCCUUUGAACAUAAUUUCACAUGAUUUAAUAAACGCACAUGUCAUCAUACCUCAAGAUAUGUGGGAUCUUAGGUUAUUUAAACGAAUGCCAUCAGUGUAAGUGCAUUUUACUUUGAUUACAUGUCAAUGGAAACAAAUUCCUUUUGAUUCUCCACGCUUCCUUUUGUGCUUUCAGGUUUCUAAUGCCCAUUGCAUCAUAACUUUGAGAGUCUUUUGGUUUCCUAGUGGUUUUUGGCUCUCUCUCUAUCUCCAACCACUUAUGUAUAGUCUUUUGCUUAUUCUUCGUCCUUCUCAUCUUUGUCCACAUGUCCUGCAAGAAAGGGAUUUUUUUAUAAAAAAUGAAAAGUUUGUAAUUAUUUUUUUUAGGGUGGGGAGAGUUCUUUUGUGUGUGUACUUAAAACUGUGUUUCCAACUACACUAUAAGAAUUAGCUUAUUAUAAAGGUAUUCUCUUGGUUUCUUUUUUAAAUUCCUCAUACUAUUCUGUCGCUUAAAAUAAACAUUGAUAAUAUUCUAUCAAUUUUGUAAUACAUUGACAUUCAAGUUGGAUUUUUAUAAUGUUAUCAUGGCCUAAUGGGAUUCCUCAAAUUGAUUACUAGUAACUAAUUAUGAUGUCAUAUUUAUGGGAUUCAAAUUUUCUUUAUGCUUGAGCCCCUGAAAUUUUCUGUAAAAGCAUGAAUACGUGAAUUGUUGGAUUUAUCUUUUUAAAUGCAUCGGGCACUUUUGGAGUCCAUGGGGGCUAGUGGAUCUACUGGGCCUGAAGCUGUUUGCUGCUACAAAAAGGAAUGUGGUUUUAUGGACAGCAAGAGCUGGUUCCAGGAAUCCAUUUAAUAUACCAUGUUUCAGUUGCCCUUUCAAUAUCCUGCCGGUGAGUUUUGGAUCAAUAUCAAACUGGGAAGACAAACAUUUGCUAAAAUGCAACUAUCCAGGUGCUUGCAUUGGACCAAAGCCUACAACACACAGAUUCAUUGUUGUUAUGGUAUCACAAAUCGCCCUCACU
Long non-coding RNA from Quercus lobata, 1113 nucleotides. RefSeq lists it as uncharacterized. The record is from RefSeq and is a predicted model, not a curated record. NCBI's taxonomy places the organism in Eukaryota, Viridiplantae, Streptophyta, Magnoliopsida, Fagales, Fagaceae. The transcript has 4 exons.